GAUGAACGCUGGCGGCGUGCCUAAUACAUGCAAGUCGAGCGAACGGACGAGAAGCUUGCUUCUCUGAUGUUAGCGGCUGACGGGUGAGUAACACGUGGAUAACCUACCUAUAAGACUGGGAUAACUUCGGGAAACCGGAGCUAAUACCGGCUGAUAUUUUGAACGGCAUGGUUCAAAAGUGAAAGACGGUCUUGCUGUCACUUAUAGAUGGAGCCGCGCUGCAUUAGCUAGUUGGUAAGGUAACGGCUUACCAAGGCAACGAUGCAUAGCCGACCUGAGGGGGUGAUCGGCCACACUGGAACUGAGACACGGUCCAGACUCCUACGGGAGGCAGCAGUAGGGAAUCUUCCGCAAUGGGCGAAAGCCUGAUCGAGCAACGCCGCGUGAGUGAUGAAGGUCUUCGGAUCGUAAAACUCUUUUAUUAGGGAAGAACAUAUGUGUAAGUAAAUGUGCACAUCUUGACGGUACCUAAUCAGAAAGCCACGGCUAACUACGUG
Molecule: ribosomal RNA, 497 nt
Filed under: uncultured bacterium
Lineage: Bacteria
Description: partial 16S ribosomal RNA
Rfam family: Bacterial small subunit ribosomal RNA
Source: RNAcentral